UACAGAGGGUGCGAGCGUUGUCCGGAAUCACUGGGCGUAAAGGGCGCGUAGGCGGACUCUUAAGUCGGUGGUGAAAUCCUGGAGCUCAACUCCAGAACUGCCUUCGAUACUGGGAGUCUCGAGUCCGGGAGAGGUGAGUGGAACUGCGAGUGUAGAGGUGAAAUUCGUAGAUAUUCGCAAGAACACCAGUGGCGAAGGCGGCUCACUGGCCCGGUACUGACGCUGAGGUGCGAAAGCGUGGGGAGCAAACAGG
This 253-nucleotide ribosomal RNA is filed under the name uncultured bacterium. RNAcentral describes it as "partial 16S ribosomal RNA". It matches the Rfam family "Bacterial small subunit ribosomal RNA", at positions 524 to 776 of the family's 1533-position model. The record is from RNAcentral.